Molecule: long non-coding RNA, 1151 nt
Filed under: Panax ginseng (ginseng)
Lineage: Eukaryota; Viridiplantae; Streptophyta; Magnoliopsida; Apiales; Araliaceae
Description: long non-coding RNA (PGIN_LNC010512)
Source: RNAcentral
GUUAUUGCUGAAACUGUUUCUUGUUACAUGUUAUGUCUUAUGCAUCGCCUAUGCAGAUUUACCCGACAACCCAGUUGAAGCACAAAUAAUAUCGCCGACUAAUUUGCCUCCUCUAGCUCCUGCAACAAAUUAUAUCGCCGACAAAUAUAUGAAUUUAUCAAGGUCCAAUCUUUACCCUUUCGGCUCUCAUGGAUAUUACUGAUCUGAUGAUUCCUUUCUAUUCAUGUUUUAUAAAUAUGUCUGAUCUAUUUGCUGAGGUUUUUAACUUAUUUUUACUUAUUGACACAUUGCUGUUUGGUGCAGCUUUAUAAUUAACAAUAGUUACUUACCUUUAAAUUAUUUUUUGCUUCCCUUAUCCAUUGCUGGUGUUCCAAGUUUAUGUUGUACUACUAUUGCUGCAUUGUUGAAUGGUGUGUAUUCAAUUAGACUAGGUAACUUGGUUUGGUUGUUUGAAAUAUUCCCUUCUCUCUCUCUCUCUCUUUCUGAAUAUUCUGCUCUUUGGAUAAUAACUUUUAUUACACUACAUAACUGUUAGUCAUUUGCAAUUUCCUUGGUAUUUGAUUUUUAUUUUAGGAGUGGAUAUACAAUUUGAGUGGGAGGAAGUUGAAGCCCACGAUAUAAUGAGACCACCGCAUUAUCAGACAGCCCCCACCUCCUAGCAAUGCAUUCCAUUCACAACAGGGUGUUGCAAGUCAAGGAAUGCCUGAGGGAGGUACUAUGACUGCUUCUUGUCCUCCUCCGACUUCAAUUUUUUCUCCAUUAAUUGGCUUGGAAGAGGGACAAGUGGUUUGAAAAAGAUUCUAAAGCACCGGCAAUUUCAGAAAAUGACUUUUCACCGGACCCAAUUUUUGGGGAUGUCUUUUUUGCAACCUAAGUUCAAGGAAAACAAAAUUCCCUGAUUCCUACUUCUUCUGCUAGUGGUGUACCUAUCUCAUCAGCCAUUGUUACUGCCUCUGCUGGACCUCAAACUACAGUCAGGCCAAGUUCGCUUGGGCCUUUGCAACAUGCACUUACUCAGCAAUCUAUUGGCAGUCAGAAUCAGCAAGUUCAGUCAUCAGUUAAAAAGGUUUUUAUCCAGUAUUUUUUUUUAAUAGUCAGCAGUUUAUUUUGACGUCUGACCAAUUUCCUGGAUUAAUGAUGUGUAUAGUCAG